UAAGCGGAGGAAAAGAAAAUAACCAUGAUUCCCUCAGUAAGGGCGACUGAAGCGGGAAGAGCUCAUUCUGUGAAUCUGCACCCUGUGGUGCCGAGUUGUGGAAUGGAGAAGCACGUCAGCUGCAGACCCCGGUCCAAGUCUUCUGGAAAGGAGCGCUUGAAAGGGUGACAGCCCCGUAUCUGGCUGGGUGUCUGUGGCAUUAGCAUGUGCCUUCGACGAGUCGAGUUGCUUGGGAUUGCAGCUCUAAGUGGGUGGUAAAUUCCAUCUAAAGCUAAAUAUCGGUGGGAGACCGAUAGCGUACAAGUACCGUGAGGGAAAGAUGCAAAGAACUUUGAAAAGAGAGUUAAAGAGUACCUGAAAUCGCUGAAAUGGAAGCGAAGGAAACCAGUGGCAUUCUCCAACAUUUUCUCUCGUUGCUUGCGGCGAGGGCGCUGUGUUGGAGAGUCGGCCAGCAUGGGUUUGGACCGGCGGAAGACAUCCCCCAGGAGGCAGCUAGAAUUCCUAGCAAUCACUGAGGGAUGGUGCGCUGGUCGAGACCGAGGCUAGUCACGUUUGUGCUCGUGAUGCUGGCGAAAUGGUUUUCUUUACCCCGUCUUGAAACACGGACCAAGG
RNAcentral lists this ribosomal RNA (612 nucleotides) under Chaetoceros sp. CCK09. RNAcentral's name for it is "LSU rRNA". It matches the Rfam family "Eukaryotic large subunit ribosomal RNA", at positions 47 to 671 of the family's 3401-position model. Lineage: Eukaryota; Bacillariophyta; Thalassiosirophyceae; Chaetocerotales; Chaetocerotaceae. The record is from RNAcentral.